RNAcentral lists this long non-coding RNA (7130 nucleotides) under Vigna radiata. Its description in RNAcentral is "long non-coding RNA (VRAD_LNC000151)". The record is from RNAcentral. Lineage: Eukaryota; Viridiplantae; Streptophyta; Magnoliopsida; Fabales; Fabaceae.
UUCCAUUUAUGCUUACUUCAAUUCACUUACAAAGUAUCGUGUAUUGUGAAUGAGAUUAGAAAAGCAUUUCCGAUUCCCUAAUUCCAACUAUUACCAGCAAAAGACGACUAAAACGGCAAUCCAUCAGAUCACCUCACGAGAAUAACAAUUAACAAACAGAACACGUGAUAAAUCACAGAAACGAUACCUCUCUGGAAAACCUAGAAGUGGAACUGAGGCGUGCAGAGGCGGAGGCACUGAUCGGUCUUCCGAGGACUAUCGCCGGUGAGCGGACAGCAGUGAUUGCCACGUCCAUUUAGACGUCGGAGAGGUCACCAAGAAGCUGAAAGCUUGAUGGAUUCAGAGACAAAAUAAACAAAGUGUUGUAAGAAUUGCUGACAAAAUCUCAAAGAGUAUUUAUCUGAGGUGUAGAAACUCUAUACGAGUAUAUACCAGGAUAUGAGAUAAGGAGAAAGAUUUUAAGAGAGAAAGUAGAGAUUGAAAUUUUGCUUCUGUGUUUUUUUUUUUUCUUGGAAAGAAAUGAGGUACUGUAUUUAUAGGAAAAGCAGAGGACCGUUGCAACAAAAAGAAAUUAGCCGUUAUCAUUAUAACGUUGGCCAAAAGCAUUUGAACGUUGCAAUUGGAACGUUGCAAUUAGAACGUUGCACAGCGUUCUUUUAUUCUUUUAAUAUUAUAAUAAUAUUUUAUAACAAUCUAACGUUACAAAGCUAACAUUCCAAAACAAUUUUUGUAAUAUAAUAUUAAUAUCAAUGAUUCAAUUCAAUUCAACCAACUAACAUAAGCCAAUUCAGCAUAUUUGAAUAUUCAACCAUUACUACGUUGUCAUCUUCAGCCAUACAUCAGAUAUUUUUUUCAUUAUUAAGGACAGUAAUCUUUCAUUGGUCACUCUUAUUCAUUUCAUUACAUAUCAUACAUAUCUUUCCUUUUUCAUCGUUAAUACAUUUUAUAUGAUUUGGGCAUAGUUCACGUAGGUUUGGGGUAAAAAAACUCACAGGAUAAAAACAAUUUUUAUUGAAAAAACCUACAGGAUUAAAAGUUUCUAAAACCUUAUGGGUCAGGAUUAGUUUAUAAAUUUUUUUUUACCGUGAAAAAAAAUAUAAUAAUAAUAAAAAAAAAAAUAGUCAAUUCUAUACCAAUAAAUCUAAACUUAACUUAAACUGCAUAAGAAUACCUACUAUCACUACUAUUUAUUGCAAUAACCUGAGUUAAAAAUGAUUUCAUAAAUUGAAGAGAUAGAAUUAUAUAUAUAUAUAUUGAAUUAUUAUGAUGAACAAAGUCAUGAUUCAGACAUGUAUGUCCAGGUGUACAGAGCUUUCAAUUCAAUUUCGGGCACUAUUUCUCAUGUGCAAUUAUUUUUCAGUAGCUAACACGUCAAGAGAGUUUGAGACUUUCUAAAAUAAGAUAUUUAAAAUGAAAUAUGUAAAAUUAAUUGUGUAUUUCGUAUACUGUAAAUUAAAAAACUUUUACGAGAACAAUAAACAAAAAAUUAAAAUAAUUGUACCUAAAGUGAUGAAAGCAUAUAAAAAUACAAAUAUUCACUAUAUAAAAUAAAUGGAAAUAUUAUUAAAAACACAUAGUAGAUUUUAAAUUAAACACUCGAGGAAUCUCUAUGAGUCUAUGCUUGUACAUGGAAAACAGACAAGUAAUGACUAAGAAUGAUUUUUCUUCUUUAAUAUAUAUAUAUUUUUCGAAAAAUAAUUUAUAUUAGGUUUUCAUCAUGGCCCUCACUUCUUCUGCAAGUUCUUUAAAGAGUGGUGUCACUUUGAUUCAUCAUAAUUAUAAAAAUGAAUAUAAAUAAUUUUUAUUAAUUUUAUAAAUGAUUUUUUUUGUUAUAAAUAAUUAUUUUAGUUUAUCAAUAUAGUAAGUUUUAGAAAUAAUUAAAUAAAUAAUAACGUUUAAUUUACAAAACAUGAGAGAGAAUGUAUAUAUAAAUUAUAUUGUUUCUAAAAUUUAAUUAAAGUUGUGUAGUGGAGCUAAAUCCACUUUAAUCCUGAUCCUAACCCACUUGAGAUGGGGUUUUAAGGAUUGAGGUUUUUUCUGACUCCUAAAAUAGGACUUUUUUUAAUAAUGGGUUGAGGCUGGUUUUGGGACCAUGGGUUAAAUUGACACUUCUAGUGAUUUUUUAUACGCUCCUCUUCUGUAAAAUUUCUUCCAUCACUGAAUGAGUCUCUUCUAUAUGACAUAGACAACCUAACGCCUUUGAUAUUAUGUUAGUAAUGUAAUAUGAUACAUUUGAAAGGGUGUUGGUGUUAUUAUUUUAUUGACAUUUAAACUUAAAUUAAUAUGAACAGAUGUUACAUUUGUACUGAAUGACUGCUUCAAUGGAUUCAGCCGUUGACCAACAACUCAACAAUAAAUAAGAUAAUUAAAGGAUAAUCUAUAACGAUAGUAGUCAUUGAUGAUUAAUGAAAAUAAUAAUAAUUAUUAAUGAACAAUUAAUUGGUUUGAUUUAAUUAUGAGACAUAUAAAUUCAGGUUUGACAUUAAGAUAAAUGACACUUUUUUCAUUGUUCUCUUUACUAAAUUCUUUGAGAAAUAUUGUUGACUUUAGGUGUCAAAGUACUUUCUGUAGGUAGGUGGACUGAUGGAUUCAAGAGUAACAGCAAGCAAGUUGGUAAUCAAUACUUACAAGAACAAAAUUGUGAAGCAAGGAUAUCGAUCCUCGAUCUCUAAAACUGAAACAUUUUGACGCCUAUUGUGGGAUCUGAGGAUGAGAGAAGAAACCCAAUGAUAAUUACAAGGAACAUGGGAGAUCAAUGAAUUUGAUAGAGUUGAUUUGAGAUAUACAGAGACAAAUGCAAGAGAUGCAGAGGACACACAAUGCGGAGAUAACAACCUUAAAAGUCAACGGUACUAUCGGGCGGAGGUAACAAUCUGUCCAACAGUCGGUAUUGCCUACUCAUGUUCCUAUGAGGGAGAGUAGUCAGGUAGGAGAGUCGGACAUAAUAGGACAGGAGGCAAGUAGCGUCGUGGCCAGGACAACCCAUUAUGUCCAAAACGAUCUUAGAAGGUUUGUACCCAUUCACGGUUGCAAUGAUGGAGGCACCAAUGCUAGAGAAAAAUACCUCUUGGUGGAUCAACUAAUCCGGACAAACAGCUUCGAUCCUUUGUAAAUACCAUGGCUUUUUAUUCAUCAAGUGACAUAGUAUGGGCAAUUACAAGAAAGAGUAGUUGAUUUUAUGCACAUAGAAGAAAUACGCGUUUUUCGCAAAGGAGGAGGAGGCAACUGCCUCAUCAGUUGGUAGGGUACGAAGGGACAACAAGAAGACUAAGGAGACAAAGGAGGUGGCCUGAAGCCGAAGAAGCUCUCCAAGGAGUCCAAAUUUAAUCACUGUCCACCUAUGAAUACUCCAAAAGAAAACUAAAAUUUUAGAAGAAUCAUUGAGUACUGACCUCCUACCUCCAUUAAAAAGGAAUCCAACACGUUGACGAAAGAAAGCAUUAUCAAUAUAAAAAACAUAUAUUAUUUAGAUUUAGCUAACAAUCUAUUUGUCAAUGUAAUUAGAAACAUCAAACUAAUAUGAAUUUUUAAAAGGGUUAAAUAUGUUUUUAGUCCCUGUACUUUGGAUGAUUUUGGUUUUAGUCUAUUUUCAAACUAUAGUACAAUUUAGUCCUUCAACUUUAGAAAACUCUGGUUUUAGUCCUUUUUACCAAAUUCUUUUAACUUUAUUUUUUGUUUCAAGUACGUUUCAUUAUAGCAUUUGGAUUGUUUACACUGUUUGACACAUUUUUGCUUUAAUGUUAACCGAGAAACGUGCUUGAAACAAAAAAUAAAGUUAAAAAAAUUUAGUAAAAAGGACUAAAAUCAAAGUUUUCUAAAGUUGAAGGACUAAAUUAUACCAUAGUUUGAAAAUAGACUAAAACCAAAAUCAUCCCAAAGUAUAGGGACUAAAAACAUAUUUAACCCUUUUUAAAAUUAUCUUAACUAUUGAGAUUUUAUUCAUUCUACAAAAGGGAAUUCAAUUAUUUAUUCUUUUUAUUAUUAUAUUUAUUAUUUCAAUUUUUAUUGGAUAAAGAUGUGAAUAGUCAAAAUAUUUUUUUUUAAAGAAAACGUUUCAACAAUACUAUACAGUUAGGGUUGAUUAUUCUCUAAUGAUAUUCAAAGUUUCAUUUUGAUUACCAACAAUACAUUUAAUAAGAUAAGAUGCAAAUUAUCAAAUAAAAGUUUAAAUUCAAUUGGAAACAACACAAUUAUUUUUGUAAUGUCUCAUUGUUUAUGGAACGGAAAAAUGUUCAUAGUGAUUUCUACAGCAUGUUCAUAUAUAUAUAUAUAUAUAUAUAUAGACACACACAUCAAAUUUUUGAAUUUGAUGGAAAAAAAAGAUGCAAGAAAAAGGCAUUACAGUUAGUGAUUUCUAUAAAUUUUUAUACCAAUUACUAUUAAAUGCAUAAGACGGGAAUCGAACGCCGUCAUGCAUCAGCUAAUAGUUAAUAAUUUAAAGUAUUAACUAUCGUAAGAAAAAGUAUACUACCGUUUAAUUAUAGGGUAUUAGAUCAUUAAAUUACAAAUUGGGCACUAUUGGUACCUACUCACUUCUACUCUGAACCAUAGCCUUCCCAUGUGUUCAAAGUCAUUUACCCAUCCAUCUGACAAGUUAUCAACCAAGUAUACCAUUAUCUCAAAUACAUUGUAAACCAUAAACCUAAAUAGGAAAAAUCCAACCAUCUAACCAAGACAGCAAAUAACAACAAACUAUCAUACAAUAAGCCAAUCACAGGCUUAGGAUAAAUAAGCAAAAUAUACCUUGAAGAUAACCUUUGCCUUUAUUAAUGAGAUCCAGAGCCACUGUCACUAUAGUACAGUAUAUACAGAUGAAUUAGAGAAACAAUAAUUGGACUUUAACCUCGAAUCACAUUUAAAAUAUACUUCAUCAGUUAGUACCGACACACUGUAAUCUGUGUUUUGUAUUGUAUGGGAGAAAACAGAACUCAUAAGGACAAAGCUUUCCCCAAUGCACACAAGGCUCAACCUGUUGGGCUCUGAGGAGUAUACACCUACAAAGCUUUCCUCAGUUCAAGACAAAAUGGUACCUUGAGUCCACGUAGCUCUCGACAUCCCAGAGAAAAGAACCAAAAGUCACAGCCUCUAAAACAAGUUUCUUUAAACCACCAAAGCUAAUUUUCACGUUUUCAUCCUUAGAGACUGACCCCUCGGGUGUUACAACAAUUUCAGGUCUUCCAAACAGUGCCUCUGUGUGCUUCUCAAUGAUGCUGAUAGCCUCUUUGGAUCUAAUUGUUGCAUAUCUUUGCAGGGUAUCUCCAUCAAGGGACAUCACAUAGUUGCGCAAUUUGGUUGCCUUUAUACCAUAGCCAAAUCCACCAGCACUCACGUCACCACCAGGCCAAGUGGAUACUUCAGGAUGAGACAUCCCUCUAGAAGUGUCUACUUCAAUACCGGGUCUCGCAUUAUCCAUCGUAGUUUGUUGAACGCUAUUCUCUUCUUCCGUUUCAUUUAGAAGAACUUUCAUUGUCUUCUCCAGCUGGAACCUUUGAUCAACUCGCUUAAGAAAAUAACCAUACAUCACUGAUGCUGCAUAGACCUGCCCUACCCUGAAUUUGCUGAUUUCAGCUAUGGAUGCUAUAUCUCCUACUUUGUUACCCAUAAUGAGGGUCAGGUGGUUUUGGAUCAUUUCGUACGCUUCACGUGAGUGAAGCUUCACAUGUUUACCAUCCUCAUCUGGCCAGAAAUCAAUCUUACCAGACAGAUCUGGGGUUACAGAUGGUGUCAAAGAAAUAUUAGCAUCAAUGAACUUCUGCACCACCAAUGCGUACAAGAUCUCCUCGAGUGCUUUCCUCCUCUCAUUAGCCUUCACCUCGGCAAUCCUCCUGGAAAGGUUUGGAAGCCAUCACAAUGAUCAACAACGGGUUUCUUUAAGACAAACAUUUUCAGAUUUAUAAAUAAAAGAUCUUAAGUGGAACCACAUUGAACGUGGACCACAUACUAAUAUAAUACAUCAAACAAAGCCUUGAAGUGAUGUAGAAAAUUAACGUGUGUUUAAUUUAUAUUUCACUAGUCUUUUAACUUCCAGUGGAAUAUAAUACAGUAAGGUGUGUAGUUUGGGAAAAUUUCUUACAUAUCUAAACGUACAACACCUGUAGUCAAACCAUAAAAAAGCCAAAAGAAUUGAACACGCACAUCAUACAAAUUAUACUUCACACCAAACCUAAAUCAUAGAGAACAUCAGAAUGAUUUGCUGCUAUCUAAUGGAAUAUGUUUCAUUCAUACAAGUUAUGGAUGCCAAAAUGAGCAAGGAUGGAAGUUUGUCAGAUUUAUUACGAGAAACUUAAGAGAGUGUGACACAUGAGGAUGAAACAAACCUGUACAAAAUCAAAUCCGUGCCUGAAGCAGAAGGUUCUUCCUUUUGUUGAUCAGCAUCCCGGUCAGUUUGGAGCUGCUCAAGCUGCUGGUCCACGGCAGCAGGCACAAGAUGCGGGUGAUCUACCAAAAUCUGAGAAAGAAACUGCCCAAUCGGAGACUCCAACUGAAGAGGAGCAAUCUUGGCAUGGGCAUCCGAUUCAAAUGACUCGGGAAAUGACGAAGCUGCUCUAACUACAAAACCUCUUCUACGACCUUGCUUGGGGAUAGAAAGUGAAGUGAAGCAAAGCUGGAAAACAUCAACAACAAAAAGCAGGUGAAUGAUAAUUAAUCAAUGAUAUCAAUCUCUUGACACGGUGUUUGGUUCCAUUUAUGCUUACUUCAUUCCACUUACAAAGUAUCGUGUUAUGUCAAUGAGAUUAGAAAAGCAUUUCCGAUUCCCUAAUUCCAACUAUUACCAGCAAAAGAUGACUAAAACGGCAAUCCAUCAGAUCACCUCACGAGGAUAACAGUUAACAAACAGAACACGUAAUCAAUCACAGAAACGAUACCUUUCUGGAAAACCUAGAAGUGGAACUGAGGCGUGCAGAGGCGGAGGCGCUGAUCGGUCUUCCGAGGACUACCGCCGGUGAGCGGACAGCAGUGAGUGCCACGUCCAUUUAGAAGUCGGAGAGGUCACCAAGAAGCUGAAAGCUGGAUGGAUUCAGAGACGAAAUGAACAAAGUAAGCGCAGAAGAAACGAAACCCUAGAGAAAGAGAAAAUGGUUAUAAAUGAAUGAUUCGAUUCGAUUGAAUUCAAUUCUGGUGUGCGUUCU